RNAcentral lists this transfer RNA (72 nucleotides) under Dryococelus australis. Its description in RNAcentral is "tRNA-OTHER". It matches the Rfam family "tRNA". Rfam says of the family: Transfer RNA (tRNA) molecules are approximately 80 nucleotides in length. Their secondary structure includes four short double-helical elements and three loops (D, anti-codon, and T loops). Lineage: Eukaryota; Metazoa; Arthropoda; Insecta; Phasmatodea; Phasmatidae. The record is from RNAcentral.
GCCUCUUUAGCUCAGUGGCAGAGCACUGGUCUUGUAAACCAGGGGUCGUGAGUUCGAUCCUCACAAGAGGCU